Molecule: ribosomal RNA, 315 nt
Filed under: Triticum aestivum (bread wheat)
Lineage: Eukaryota; Viridiplantae; Streptophyta; Magnoliopsida; Poales; Poaceae
Description: partial small subunit ribosomal RNA
Source: RNAcentral
AUGGGCAGGGGCCGACCGGAUCUGGAGCUUGAGGCGGCGGCGCUGGAGGUCCGGCCGACGCCACGAACAAAGCGGCGGCUGCUAGCGAUGGGGUCGAGCGAGGGAGAAGGUGGCGCGAGGGAGGAGAUGGGGAUCGGGGCGAGGAGCGAUGGGGCGCAGAGGUGGGAGAUGGAGGCGCUGCGGGAGGGAGAUGGGAUCGGGAGAAGGGUGCGGCUAGGGUUAGAAGGCAGGGGCCGGCUGGGCCUUGGGAUGCGGAUGGAGCAGGCUUGGCCUGGCUGCUGGGCUGCAGGGCUCCUUCUCUCUCUCUAUCUCUAA